UACGAAGGGGGCUAGCGUUGCUCGGAAUCACUGGGCGUAAAGGGUGCGUAGGCGGGUCUUUAAGUCAGGGGUGAAAUCCUGGAGCUCAACUCCAGAACUGCCUUUGAUACUGGAAGUCUUGAGUCCGGAAGAGGUAAGUGGAACUGCGAGUGUAGAGGUGAAAUUCGUAGAUAUUCGCAAGAACACCAGUGGCGAAGGCGGCUCACUGGCCCGGUACUGACGCUGAGGUGCGAAAGCGUGGGGAGCAAACAGG
RNAcentral lists this ribosomal RNA (253 nucleotides) under uncultured bacterium. Its description in RNAcentral is "partial 16S ribosomal RNA". It matches the Rfam family "Bacterial small subunit ribosomal RNA", at positions 524 to 776 of the family's 1533-position model. The record is from RNAcentral.